This 567-nucleotide small RNA is filed under the name Pan troglodytes (chimpanzee). RNAcentral describes it as "retained intron". Lineage: Eukaryota; Metazoa; Chordata; Mammalia; Primates; Hominidae. The record is from RNAcentral.
UUAUUCUUCUUUUACAGUUGACAUUUUGCUAAAGGCUGUGGGAGACACUCCUAUUAUGAAAACAAAGAAGUGGGCAGUAGAGCGAACACGAACCAUCCAAGGACUCAUUGACUUCAUCAAAAAGUUUCUUAAACUUGUGGCCUCAGAACAGUUGUUUAUUUAUGUGAAUCAGUCCUUUGCUCCUUCCCCAGACCAAGAAGUUGGAACUCUCUAUGAGUGUUUUGGCAGUGAUGGUAAACUGGUUUUACAUUACUGCAAGUCUCAGGCGUGGGGAUGAACCACAAAGAAAAUCAACUUGCUACUACAUAAAAUGGAUUUUCACGGAAGAGACAGCUCUGAAAAGUUUUGAUGCUUGUGGCAAGAGACUUAACAGAUGUGAUCUAUUUAGUAUGUGUCUACUCUAUGUUUAUGCAUAAGAAAACAUCCAUAGCAUGAAUGGACUCAGAAAAAUGUGAUUUGUAUUAAUACACCAGUCAUCAUAAAAGAUGGUCAUGAUAGUACACCCAUUGCUCCUACUUGUUACUAUUAUUGCUGCAGAUCUGCCUCCAAGGUUGAAAAGGAGACUAA